UUUUGAUAUGUGUUUAGAAAUUGCCAUAAAAUGGUCGCAAAUAUUAAAAAAGAUGACAUAGACCAAGUAUUUUAUGUAGACAAAGGAGGAAAAGAGACAAAAAAAAACAUCUCUUAUCGUAAAGUUUGCUAAUUCUAAAUCUAAAAUUAACUGAUGGAUGAGAAACCCGAACUAAAACAGUUUGAUAUGUUAAAAGGAGUCUAUGUGAACGAUUUUUUAAGCAGAGAAUCUUCGCAUCUAUUCAGUUAUACGAAAUCGUUGAGAGCUGCCGGAUACAAACAUAUUUUUGUGAAACAUGGAAGUGUUUUGUGAGAUGAGAUGAUAAUGCAAAGGCAAUACCCCAGCUAGCAUUUGGAAGAUUGUUUUUGAAAAAAUCACUUUGGUGAGUCUUCUUCGAGUCCUUUUGGUGACCAAAAAAUGAUUAACUGACUUGUAUGAUCGAAAAGAGACUCGAAAAUGACUCUCUCUAAUGAGUGAAAAGAGAUCAGUAUAAUAUACAACAACAAAAUGUAGGGGAAUCGCAAAUCAAUCAUUGAGAUGUGCAAAAUGUGACAAUUUUUCCGUUAUUUAUUAUCGAAUUGCGAUCAUCUAGAGAAUGAAAAAUGAUUAGUCUUAAAAGGAUCUGGCAGCUGUUUGAAAAGUGAUCAAAAUUGUGUCAUUUUUGAUCAUAUAUUGCACAGAUAAGUGCAUAAAUACUGCUUGUUUUGUUAUGCAAGGGCCAUUUUGUUUGUUGACUGACUAUCAAAAAGUUGAAUUACUGUUCAUUUAUAAAAAGUGCAUGGAGGCGUCAACAGCAAAAGUGAAAAAAAUAUGAAAAUGUGUACGUUUAUCUCUUUGUUUAUUUAUUAAUUUUUAUAAAGAAAAUGUCAGCAAGUUAAAUUACAAAAAUAGAAAAGGCUAAAAUAAAAACGAUGGCAAAAAGAGGCACAAAAGACGUAAACUGAAUAUGAGAAAAAUGAAGAAAAUUGCCAGAAACGUGAAUUGGUGAAGCAAAAUGAGACAGAACUUGAUUUAAAGAGUUUAUUGCAAAAACCGAUAAAUUAGCCUGCCAAUACAGCUGGAAGGGGACAGGGUAAAUCUGAGUGCAGAAAAGUGUUAUUUAUUUACAGUAAUCAAAAAUAUGUGUCAUCUCAAAUACUCAAGUAACGACAAGGAUAUUAACACAAUCCUACAAAAACAUUUUGUUCACGCUAGAGACCGCGUUACAAAUAGAAAACGGC
This is a long non-coding RNA of Musca domestica (house fly), 1220 nucleotides long. RefSeq lists it as uncharacterized. NCBI's taxonomy places the organism in Eukaryota, Metazoa, Arthropoda, Insecta, Diptera, Muscidae. The record is from RefSeq and is a predicted model, not a curated record. The transcript is spliced from 3 exons.